Molecule: long non-coding RNA, 2161 nt
Organism: Cebus imitator (Panamanian white-faced capuchin)
Lineage: Eukaryota; Metazoa; Chordata; Mammalia; Primates; Cebidae
Exons: 2
Source: RefSeq, a predicted model, not a curated record
UGAACGCCGGAGCGCUCCCCUCUCGCCGCUUGCCUCGCCCAGCACAGCCCCGGCCGCCGGGCGCACCCGUCCCGUUCGUCCCCGGACGUUGUUCUGUACCCCGGGAACGUCGAGACUGGAGCGCCCGAACUGAGCCACCUUCGUGGACCCCGAGCGCUGCGGCGCGACUCACCGCGGAGGCGCCCGGACGCGUCAAGUGCGUACUUUCAACCGUAAAUGUGUGCUGAGCGUUUAGGGGUGCGGGGCAACUCCCUAACUCGAGGGGCCCUGGCCAGCCCUGCGGCCGCGUCCGAGACCUUCUGAUCCCUCGCUGCAGCGCGCGGCGCGGGGUUGGCGACUUUGGCUCAGGGGCGAUGGGGCGGGGAGGUGCCUUGACCUAGGGUCCCAGCGGCCGGGAGCAAGUCUCGUUUCGCCUUGGACCGCUGUGUACCCCAGGGCAGGGCCUGAACCAGGUCGCGAGAGUCUGUACCCCAUCUGGGGAGCUGAACUGCCCGGGACACUCUCGCAGUUGCGGGGACUUGUCUGGAGCGGCGGGGCCGGAGCCCAAGUCCGAAGCCGCCGCCACCAGCGUCCCGUGCGCCUGCGGCCCCGGGGACCAACCGCCGAACUACUUCUCAGGACGGAGACAGCGCUCACCGCCCGGGCCGAGGCCCAGCCGAAUAGGAAGCAUCUGAUCCACACUCUAGCCCCAGGGAUGUUCAGGGAAGCAGCCCUUCCUUAGGGCUGUCAGGUGCCUUGGGGACCUGUUGCUGUGUCAUGGGCCCACAGACUGCACUCCGUUCCUCAGGAUUCCAGAAUACUGGACAAAGCUCGAAGGCCAGUUUGACUCCUGCAGCCUCUCAUGCAGGUGAGGACAGACCCAAGGUCCCGGCGAUACUGGCUACUGGAACACAGAACCUGGAUUAGUGACCCCCACUCCACUGCUCUCCCUCUUCUAGACCCUCUCUCCUUCAGGGCAACCCCUGUCUCUCCUUCCCAUCUCUCUCCAGGGCUGCACCCUUGGCUCACCUUAGACCUGGCUUUUCCUACCUGUUGCCCCUACCAUCUUGUCCCGUCCCAGUGGUCAGGAGGGAGAGUACCGGCCAAAGGCCCGGCUCUACCUAUGACUUAGAGGAGCACUAGGCAUCACCCAGAGGUCCUGGCCCCCAGGGUCCUGGCAGGCCCUACUGUGGGGGAAGCAGAGUUAGAACUGGGGCUGCUUCUCCUGCCCCGCAGCCUGGCUGGGCCUCCUCCGCCUCCCUUUCUGCCUGCCCUCUUACAACUCCAGCAGGGGGCGGGCAGGGGAAAGAAAAGGAGGGACAAGCUGGAUGGGGUCCAUCUGGUGUCCAGGAGCAACUUGGAGAGAGGCGGGGAGGAGACUGGCGGCAGGGCCCUGGCAGAUCAGGAGAGGGCUGGCCUUUGGAUGGCCUUCUGAUCCCAAGCCCAUCCUCCCGGGGCAGUCUGCCCUUGAAAGGGAGGGGCUUGGUGGACCCUGGCGCGGACGCCUCCCCUCACUGCUGCAGUGUGGGGCAUGAUAGGCGGGUUUGCAGUGGGCACAGCCUCUCUCCAGAGCAGCUCCCAGGACCCAGAGAGGCUGUCGCAGAGACUCCCCUCUGGGGUAGGGUGGGUCCUAAUGGCCCUUGGUUCCCCUGCGGGAGGACCUCCUGAGGCUUCAGGCAAGAGCUGGUCCAUGCCUGGAGGAUGGUGCUGGCGAUCGGCAGGUGUGUGCGCCUCGGCGGCCCUGCUGCCUGGUGCUCAGCCCUGCUUCAACACUCACCCUUUGUCUCCCGUCCCCAUCCACCGGCCUCUUGAAGCACAGAGAGCCUCUGGGGAGUUUCCUUCCUCUGGGCUUCUGCUAAUGCUAUCACCUGCUCCCCUCUUCCACCUGGAGACCCCCAUUUCUCCUCCUCCUCUGCUGCCCUCACCUCCGCCUGGGCCCUCCCAGCUCCCGGGAGACAGGAGAUGGCUGAACUCCACUCCCGCUCGCUCGUCAUCCUCUUCAGCGGUCCUCCUGGAGCCGUCCUCGGGACCGCAGCCUCCACAGCCCCGGGGCUCACCCCCGGCUUCAUGUCUGCCACUGACUCCAGACCUGCCCCUCCCAGGCUAGCCCAGAUGAGAUCCUGUGCAGUGACUAACCCAAACCAGCGCGGGGCAGGGACCCAAUAAACCUCUGUGAACCGAG